This 502-nucleotide ribosomal RNA is filed under the name uncultured bacterium. RNAcentral describes it as "bacterial SSU rRNA". It matches the Rfam family "Bacterial small subunit ribosomal RNA", at positions 29 to 518 of the family's 1533-position model. The record is from RNAcentral.
AACGAACGCUGGCGGCGCGUCUUAAGCAUGCAAGUCGAACGGCAUGAGGAAGCUUGCUUCCUCAGAGAGUGGCGGACUGGUGAGUAACACGUGGGUGACCUACCCUUGAGAUGGGGAUAGCCGUUAGAAAUAGCGGAUAAUACCGAAUACGCUCUACGGACUCUGGUUUGUAGAGGAAACAGGCUACGGCCUGGCUCGAGGAUGGGCCCGCGUCCCAUUAGCUAGUUGGUGAGGUAAGAGCCCACCAAGGCGACGAUGGGUAUCCGGCCUGAGAGGGUGUACGGACACAUUGGGACUGAGAUACGGCCCAAACUCCUACGGGAGGCAGCAGCUAAGAAUAUUCCGCAAUGGACGAAAGUCUGACGGAGCGACGCCGCGUGGAUGACGAAGGCCGAAAGGUUGUAAAAUCCUUUUGCUGAUGAAGAAUAAGCGUGGUAGGGAAUGACCGCGUGAUGACAUUAGUCGGUGAAUAAGCCCCGGCUAACUACGUGCCAGCAGCCGG